CCAUUCAUUUAAAGAGUGCGUAACAGCUCACUAGUCAAGAGAUCUUGCGUGGAAAAUGUAACGGGGCUCAAGUGUAAUACCGAAGACAUGGAUUAUGUACUAGAAAUAAAGUUUAUAAUAAUAUAUACUGCAUUCAAUAUGGAAAUAAAUGGAAAAGAAGCAUAUUUUAUUGCGAUAAAAGCAUUAAUCAGAAAAGGUGAUGAAAUUUUAAUUACUCACGACAUUUGGAAUCAGUGGGAUUUACCUGGCGGGAGGAUUAAGAAAGAUGAAUUUAGAAAAGAGUUUCAAGAUGUAUUACGUCGUAAGAUAUCAGAGGAAUUGGGUGAUAAAGUAAAAUAUGAAAUUUCUAAAUAUCCGAAAGCUUUUUUCCGCGUACAGAGAACAGAGUUUUUAGAACAAGGCGGAACAAUAAAUGUUAGGAUUUUUGGAAUUGGAUAUGAGGUGGAAUAUUUAGGUGGAGACAUUAUUCUUGGACCUCACCAUGAUAAAAUAGAAUGGGUUAACAUAAACAAGUUUGAUCCAUACUUGUAUUUUAAGGGGGGUUGGGAAGAAGGUCUUUUUGAAUACAUUAAGGUUUGCAAAGAAUUAUAGAUUUUAUUUCUAGUACAUAGUGGUAGAGGAGCGUUGAUAUUGCGGUGAAGUCAGAUUGGAAAGUCUGGUGGAGCGGUAUCAAGUGAGAAUGCUGGAAUCAGUAACCAUAAGACAGGUGAGAAUCCUGUCGGUCGUAAGAGCAAGGUUUCCAGGGCUACAGUAAUUGUCCCUGGGUUAGUCGGUCCUAAGCCGAGGCGUAUCAGCGUAGGCGAUGGACAUCAGGUUAAUAUUCCUGAACAGGUAGUAGUUGUUAACAGUUCACGGAGAACAUCUCAGAGCGGAUUAUUGGUAUAUAUCCGUCCAACAAUCUUGGGAACAAGAAAGGAGUGAAAGUUACCCCUCGGGGUGACGAUUCUGGGGCAGGCUCUGGCUAGAAAAGCUGGUUAACUUAGGCUGCUGCCUACCGUACCGCAAACCAACACAGGUGCUCGAGUCGAGUAGACUAAGACUUACGAGAGAACCUUCGCUAAGGAACUCGGCAAAACAGCGUCCGUAACUUCGGAAUAAGGACUGCCCUCUCAUUAAGAUGAGGAUUUGCUAAAGUUACUCAGCGAGAGAUUCGGUUACUAGAACAAGACCGUUUUGUGUAUAUUUGUUUACACAAAUUUUCUGAAAGGGUGGUGUAUAUCCAUGAAGCUCAGUUUGGAUGAUAGGCGCUACUUAAAACAUCUUAAAAACGACGAGUUUGAGUUUGUUUUAGACUUUUACAAGGAUAGUAAUAAACUUGAGUGGAUUCAAGUGGUUUUAGGUGAAUGUAGCAAAAACAUUGAGUCAUUAGUCAGCGAAAAGAGGGGUGGGAAUCUAGAGCUGCUUGACCUUUGGUCCAGGUUGGAUAAUUUAAGGAGGAAAUGGCAAACACCAGGAGGCCGUUCCGUGAUUGAAGAGUUUUCGGAUUCUUGGACCAACGGUAUCAGCAACAUUCUAGACAGGGCUUAUCCUGCCUGGAGGACAACUGAUUAGUUGGCCCCUUUAGGACAGCUUUCAGAGGAUAAUCUCUACGGGUGAGUUUUUCUCUCACCCACUUCCAAAAUAUAUACAAAACGGUCUUGUUUAAUGUAUCUUUAAAAAUCGAAUUUCUUUGUUGAGACAGAACACUAAUUUGUUCUUUAACUUAGCAGCUUAAUCGUCAUUUUGAUGAGAGGGCCGCAGCUAAAGAGCCCACGGAACUGUUUAUCAAAAACACAGGUCUCUGCUAACGCGAAAGCGGAUGUAUAGGGGCUGACUCCUGCCCAGUGUCGGAAGGUUAAGGGGAGCGCUUUACGGUGCAAACUGAAGCCCCGAUGAACGGCGGCGAUAACUAUGAUCGUCCUAAGGUAGCGAAAUUCCUUGUCUGGUAAGUUCAGACCCGCACGAAUGGAGUAAUCAUGUGGGCACUGUCUCGGCGAAGGCCUCGGUGAACGUGCAUUGGCGGUAAAGAUGCCGUCUGAUCAUGCCAGGACGAGAAGACCCCAUGGAGCUUUACUACAACUUUGCAUUGAUUGUUGGGAUAUUUUGUGUAGCAUAGGUGGGAGACUUUGAAGCAGAUACGCUAGUAUUUGUGGAGUCACCGGUGAAAUACCACCCUGAAUGUUUUAGCAAUCUCACUCUUGACUUUAUCAGCCAAGAGGACCGUGCAUGGCGGGUAGUUUAACUGGGGCGGUUGCCUCCUAAAGAGUAGCGGAGGCGUUCAAAGGUUGGCUAACUACGGAUGGAAAUCGUAGUGAUAGUGUAUGCGCAAAAGCCAGCUUGACUGUGAGGACUACAAUCCAAUCAGACACGAAAGUGGGAGCAAAUGACCCGCUGUACAGAUCUUCGGAUCAAUUUACGUGGGAAAGACAGCGCACACGGAUAAAAGUUACCCUGGGGAUAACAGGCUGAUCGCGCCCAAUAGUUCACAUAGACGGCGCGGUUUGGCACCUCGAUGUCGGCUCAUCACAUCCUGGAGGGGGAGCACCUUCCAAGGGUUCGGCUGUUCGCCGAUUAAAGUGGUACGCGAGCUGGGUUCAGAACGUCGUGAGACAGUUCGGUUUAUAUCCGGCAUGAUCGUUAGGAAUUUUGAGGAGAUCUGCCCCUAGUACGAGAGGACCGGGGUGGACGAACCUCUAGUGUAUCGGUUGUGGCCACCUGCUGCAUCGCCGAGUAGCUAUGUUCGGAAGAGAUAAGCGCUGAAAGCAUAUUAAGCGCGAAGCCCACUCCAAGAUUAGAAUUCCCUAUGAGAUCCCAGAGAGAAGAUCUGGUUAAUAGGCGCAAGAUGGAAGUACCGUAAGGUAUGGAGUCGAAGCGUACUAAUAGAUCCAUCGCCUUUUUAUG
RNAcentral lists this ribosomal RNA (2880 nucleotides) under human oral metagenome. RNAcentral describes it as "bacterial LSU rRNA". It matches the Rfam family "Bacterial large subunit ribosomal RNA", at positions 1116 to 2925 of the family's 2925-position model. The record is from RNAcentral.